UUACGAUGUGUUGCGCCCUCGUUGCGUUUGAUUUCCGUUACUAUUCAGGAAUAUGACUCGAUGGCCUCUUAUUUCGUAAUAAUCGUAGUAAAUUCUGUCAGGAAAGCGCCGUUGGUUCGAAUGAGAAUAUAAUUAGCAAUGCGGAGGAAAUUCAAGUGUCACUGACUGAUUGUUGUACAACUUCUGAUGAGUGACCGUGUGAUGCACCACCCAAUGUUCACAGGCAACACAAUUAUUGAUAAUUUUUUCUUUGGAGAGCACUGCCAGAGCUCCACAAGAUUUGGUAAGGCAAAUGGGGAGUACUGCAGGGCACAACACGGCAACUAAACCUGUAGCCAGAGUGCUUAGGACCUAUAGGCAAUUAUUCAGCCAGAGUAGGCAAUUCUCUCUCAUGUGUGUGUGAUACCGACUAACAAAUUGCACGAAAUCUCGAAUGGGGUAAGCCACGUCAAGUGCACAGCUCGUUGUGAAUUGUGACCAGAACGCGAACCUGGAUCAGCUGUCGGAGUCGUCAGCGUAACUCAACCUGAUUGAACAUAUCAAGCAGAAGCUUAGCAAGAUGAACAGCAGCAAACUGAGCGUCCGGCCAGCUCCGGCCGAGAUCGUG
Molecule: long non-coding RNA, 607 nt
Organism: Priapulus caudatus
Lineage: Eukaryota; Metazoa; Priapulida; Priapulimorpha; Priapulimorphida; Priapulidae
Exons: 3
Source: RefSeq, a predicted model, not a curated record